This 484-nucleotide ribosomal RNA is filed under the name uncultured bacterium. RNAcentral's name for it is "partial 16S ribosomal RNA". It matches the Rfam family "Bacterial small subunit ribosomal RNA", at positions 28 to 507 of the family's 1533-position model. The record is from RNAcentral.
AUUGAACGCUGGCGGCAUGCUUUACACAUGCAAGUCGAACGGCAGCGCGGGCUUCGGCCUGGCGGCGAGUGGCGAACGGGUGAGUAAUGCAUCGGAACGUGCCCAGUAGUGGGGACUGGCCCCCCGAAGGCGGGAUUAAUCCCCCAACGGACCUGAGGUUGAAACCGGGGGCCCGAAAGCCCUCGGCCAUUUGGCGCGCCCGAUGUCGGAUUAGCUAGUUGGUGGGGUAAAGGCUUACCAAGGCGACGAUCCGUAGCUGGUCUGAGAGGACGACCAGCCACACUGGGACUGAGACACGGCCCAGACUCCUACGGGAGGCAGCAGUGGGGAAUUUUGGACAAUGGGGGCAACCCUGAUCCAGCCAUGCCGCGUGCGGGAAGAAGGCCUUCGGGUUGUAAACCGCUUUUGUUCGGGAAGAAAUCCUCUGGGCUAAUACCCCGGGGGGAUGACGGUACCGGAAGAAUAAGCACCGGCUAACUACGUG